UACGGAGGAUGCAAGCGUUAUCCGGAUUCAUUGGGUUUAAAGGGUGCGCAGGCGGGCAUUUAAGUCAGUGGUGAAAAGCUGCCGCUUAACGGUAGUCUUGCCAUUGAUACUUUUUGUCUUGAGUUUGUUUGAGGUAGGCGGAAUGUGCAGUGUAGCGGUGAAAUGCAUAGAUAUUGCACAGAAGGCCGAUUGCGAAGGCAGCUUACUGAACCAUAACUGACGCUCAUGCACGAAAGCGUGGGGAUCAAACA
This 251-nucleotide ribosomal RNA is filed under the name uncultured prokaryote. RNAcentral describes it as "partial 16S ribosomal RNA". It matches the Rfam family "Bacterial small subunit ribosomal RNA", at positions 524 to 774 of the family's 1533-position model. The record is from RNAcentral.